UACGGAGGGUGCGAGCGUUGUCCGGAUUUACUGGGCGUAAAGAGCGCGCAGGCGGUCGUUCAAGUCGCGUGUGAAAGCCCCCGGCUCAACUGGGGAGGGUCACGCGAUACUGAUCGACUCGAAGGCAGGAGAGGGUAGUGGAAUUCCCGGUGUAGUGGUGAAAUGCGUAGAUAUCGGGAGGAACACCAGUGGCGAAGGCGACUACCUGGCCUGUUCUUGACGCUGAGGCGCGAAAGCUAGGGGAGCAAACGGG
Molecule: ribosomal RNA, 253 nt
Filed under: uncultured bacterium
Lineage: Bacteria
Description: partial 16S ribosomal RNA
Rfam family: Bacterial small subunit ribosomal RNA
Source: RNAcentral